RNAcentral lists this ribosomal RNA (1382 nucleotides) under metagenome. Its description in RNAcentral is "bacterial LSU rRNA". It matches the Rfam family "Bacterial large subunit ribosomal RNA", at positions 1525 to 2925 of the family's 2925-position model. The record is from RNAcentral.
UGUCUAAAUAGGCAAAUCCGUUUGGACAAUGCUAGGAUGUGAUGGGGAAGCCCUUCGGGGCGAAGUAGCUGAUUUCACACUGUCAAGAAAAGCUUCUAUCGAGUUUAAAGGCGCCUGUACCGUAAACCGACACAGGUGGGUGAGGAGAGUAUCCUAAGGCCAGCGAGAGAACUAUUGUUAAGGAACUCGGCAAAAUGACCCCGUAACUUAGGGAGAAGGGGUGCCUGUCUAUGACAGGCCGCAGAGAAUAGGCCCAAGCGACUGUUUACCAAAGACACAGGUUUCUGCUAAGUCGCAAGACGAUGUAUAGGAGCUGACGCCUGCCCGGUGCUGGAAGGUUAAGGGGAUCUGUUAGAGCAAUCGAAGCAGUGAACUUAAGCCCCAGUAAACGGCGGUCGUAACUAUAACGGUCCUAAGGUAGCGAAAUUCCUUGUCGGGUAAGUUCCGACCCGCACGAAAGGCGUAACGAUUUGGGCACUGUCUCAACAAUAGACUCGGUGAAAUUGUAAUCCCGGUGAAGAUGCCGGGUACCUGCGACAGGACGGAAAGACCCCAUGGAGCUUUACUGUAGCUUGACGCUGGGUCUUGGUACUACAUGUACAGGAUAGGUGGGAGACUAUGAAGCAUGGACGCCAGUCUGUGUGGAGUCAUCCUUGGGAUACCACCCUUGUAGUACUGGGAUCCUAACCAUAGGCCUUGAAUCAGGUCUUGGAACACCGUCAGGUGGGCAGUUUGACUGGGGCGGUCGCCUCCUAAAAAGUAACGGAGGCGCUCAAAGGUUUCCUCAGCACGGUCGGAAAUCGUGCGAAGAGUGUAAAGGCAAAAGGAAGCUUGAUUGCAAGACAUACAGGUCGAGCAAGGACGAAAGUCGGACUUAGUGAUCCGGUGGUACCGCAUGGAAGGGCCAUCGCUCAACGGAUAAAAGCUACCCUGGGGAUAACAGGCUUAUCUCCCCCAAGAGUCCACAUCGACGGGGAGGUUUGGCACCUCGAUGUCGGCUCAUCACAUCCUGGGGCUGUAGUAGGUCCCAAGGGUUGGGCUGUUCGCCCAUUAAAGUGGUACGCGAGCUGGGUUCAGAACGUCGUGAGACAGUUCGGUCCCUAUCCGUCGCAGGCGUAGGAAAUUUGAGAAGACCUGUCCUUAGUACGAGAGGACCGGGAUGGACGUACCUCUGGUGUACCAGUUGUUCUGCCAAGGGCAUGGCUGGGUAGCUAUGUACGGAAUGGAUAAGCGCUGAAAGCAUCUAAGCGCGAAGCCAACUUCAAGAUAAGAUUUCCCACCGUAAGGGUAAGACCCCAGGAAGACUACCUGGUUGAUAGGUCGAAGGUGUAAGUGCAGUAAUGUGUUUAGCUUAUCGAUACUAAUAGGUCGAGGACUUGAUC